This 521-nucleotide ribosomal RNA is filed under the name uncultured bacterium. RNAcentral describes it as "bacterial SSU rRNA". It matches the Rfam family "Archaeal small subunit ribosomal RNA", at positions 345 to 866 of the family's 1478-position model. The record is from RNAcentral.
AACCUCCGCAAUGUGAGAAAUCGCGACGGGGGGAUCCCAAGUGCCAUUCUUAACGGGAUGGCUUUUCAUUAGUGUAAAGAGCUUUUGGAAUAAGGGCUGGGCAAGACCGGUGCCAGCCGCCGCGGUAACACCGGCAGCUCUAGUGGUAGCAGUUUUUAUUGGGCCUAAAGCGUCCGUAGCCGGUUUAAUAAGUCUCUGGUGAAAUCCUGUAGCUUAACUGUGGGAAUUGCUGGAGAUACUAUUAGACUUGAGACCGGGAGAGGUUAGAGGUACUCCCAGGGUAGAGGUGAAAUUCUGUAAUCCUGGGAGGACCGCCUGUUGCGAAGGCGUCUAACUGGAACGGUUCUGACGGUGAGGGACGAAAGUUAGGGGCGCGAACCGGAUUAGAUACCCGGGUAGUCCUAACCGUAAACGAUGCGGACUUGGUGUUGGGGUGACUUUGAGCUGCUCCAGUGCCGAAGGGAAGCUGUUAAGUCCGCCGCCUGGAAGGUACGGUCGCAAGACUGAAACUUAAAGGAAAU